UAGGGUAAUACCUCAUGUGAUCCGAGGUUUGGAUGCCUCGGAUGAAAGGCGCAAUCGUGUCGCUUUGGGAUGAGCCUGCGGUCCAUUAGAUUAGUUGGUGAGGUAAUAGCUCACCAAGGCGAUGAUGGAUAGCCGGCCUGAGAGGGUGAACGGUCACACUGGGACUGAGACACGGCCCAGACUCCUACGGGAGGCAGCAGCUAAGAAUAGUCCGCAAUGGGGGAAACCCUGACGGUGCGACGCCGCGUGGGUGAUGAAGGCCUGACGGUUGUAAAACCCUUUUCUCAGCGAAGAAUAAGGUGAGGAGUGGAACGCCUCAUCGAUGACGUUAGUUGAGGAAGAAGCCCCGGCCAAUUACGUGCCAGCAGCCGCGGUAACACGUAAGGGGCGAGCGUUGUUCGGAAUUAUUGGGCGUAAAGGGCGCGUAGGCGGUGCAGCAAGCUUGGUGUAAAAGGCUCGGGCUCAACCCGGGGAAUGCGCUGGGAACUGCUGCGCUAGAGUUUUGGAGGGGAAGCUGGAGCUCCUGGUGGAGGGGUGAAAUCUGUAGAUAUCAGGAAGAACACCGGUAGCGAAGGCGAGCUUCUGGCCUAAGACUGACGCUGAGGCGCGAAAGCGUGGGGAGCGAACAGGAUUAGAUACCCUGGUAGUCCACGCCGUAAACGAUGUGCACUAGGCGUAGGGUGCGUUGAGUGCUCUGUGCCGGAGCUAACGCGUUAAGUGCACCGCCUGGGGAGUAUGCCCGCAAGGGUGAAACUCAAAGGAAUUGACGGGGGCCCGCACAAGCGGUGGAGCAUGUGGUUUAAUUCGAUGAUACGCGAGGAACCUUACCAGGGCUUGACAUGUGCACGGAGAUCCAUGAGAGUGGGUUGUCCUUCGGGACGUGCACACAGGUAUUGCAUGGCCGUCGUCAGCUCGUGUCGUGAGAUGUUGGGUUAAGUCCCGCAACGAGCGCAACCCUUACCGUCUGUUGCCAACAGGUAAUGCUGGGGACUCGGACGGAACUGCCGGUGGCAAACCGGAGGUAAGGUGGGGACGAGGUCAGGUCAUCAUGAUCCUUACGUCCUGGGCUACACACGUGCUACAAUGGUCGGUACAGAGCGUAGCGAUACGGCGACGUUGAGCAAAUCGCUGAAAGCCGGCCUUGGUUCGGAUUGGAGUCUGAAACUCGACUCCAUGAAGGUGGAAUCGCUAGUAAU
RNAcentral lists this ribosomal RNA (1196 nucleotides) under uncultured spirochete. RNAcentral describes it as "bacterial SSU rRNA". It matches the Rfam family "Bacterial small subunit ribosomal RNA", at positions 159 to 1342 of the family's 1533-position model. The record is from RNAcentral. Lineage: Bacteria; Pseudomonadati; Spirochaetota; Spirochaetia; Spirochaetales.